RNAcentral lists this ribosomal RNA (459 nucleotides) under uncultured bacterium. RNAcentral's name for it is "partial 16S ribosomal RNA". It matches the Rfam family "Bacterial small subunit ribosomal RNA", at positions 338 to 795 of the family's 1533-position model. The record is from RNAcentral.
CCUACGGGAGGCAGCAGUGAGGAAUAUUGGUCAAUGGACGAGAGUCUGAACCAGCCAAGUAGCGUGAAGGAUGACUGCCCUAUGGGUUGUAAACUUCUUUUAUAUGGGAAUAAAAUGUUCCACGUGUGGGAUUUUGUAUGUACCAUAUGAAUAAGGAUCGGCUAACUCCGUGCCAGCAGCCGCGGUAAUACGGAGGAUCCGAGCGUUAUCCGGAUUUAUUGGGUUUAGGGGAGCGUAGGUGGAUUGUUAAGUCAGUUGUGAAAGUUUGCGGCUCAACCGCAAAAUUGCAGUUGAAACUGGCAGUCUUGAGUACAGUAGAGGUGGGCGGAAUUCGUGGUGUAGCGGUGAAAUGCUUAGAUAUCACGAAGAACUCCGAUUGCGAAGGCAGUUCACUGGACUGCAACUGACACUGAGGCUCGAAAGUGUGGGUAUCAAACAGGAUUAGAUACCCCUGUAGUC